AGUGAUCUUUCCAGUGGAGUAACGACCUCGGUGGCGAUCGGAUAAGAUGUGGCUCUUUUGGCGGAACGGCUGUAGAUAAACACUUGUUAUAACAAAAAGCCACUCGAAACAUAGCAAUUUAUUGAUUAAUAAAGGAAGAGAAGGAAAAGCACAUAAAUAAAAAAUGAAAUAAAACAAAAACAAUGGCGGAAGCAACUUUUAUGGAAAUUUAAUUCUCCAGAUAAAAGGGUUGAAAGUGCUGAAGAGGCUUUGCAAAGAACAAAAAGUUUACUCUGUAUAAAUAUGAAAAAAUAAAAUAUGUUUUGUAUUA
This is a long non-coding RNA of Tribolium castaneum (red flour beetle), 310 nucleotides long. RefSeq lists it as uncharacterized. NCBI's taxonomy places the organism in Eukaryota, Metazoa, Arthropoda, Insecta, Coleoptera, Tenebrionidae. The record is from RefSeq and is a predicted model, not a curated record. The transcript has 2 exons.